UCCCUGGUGGUUCAGUGGUUAAGACUCAACGCUUUCAGUGCCAGGGACCCAGGUUUGAUCCCUGGUCAGGGAA
RNAcentral lists this transfer RNA (73 nucleotides) under Ovis aries (sheep). It matches the Rfam family "tRNA". From Rfam's summary of the family: Transfer RNA (tRNA) molecules are approximately 80 nucleotides in length. Their secondary structure includes four short double-helical elements and three loops (D, anti-codon, and T loops). Further hydrogen bonds mediate the characteristic L-shaped molecular structure. tRNAs have two regions of fundamental functional importance: the anti-codon, which is responsible for specific mRNA codon recognition, and the 3' end, to which the tRNAs corresponding amino acid is attached (by aminoacyl-tRNA synthetases). tRNAs cope with the degeneracy of the genetic code in two manners: having more than one tRNA (with a specific anti-codon) for a particular amino acid; and 'wobble' base-pairing, i.e. permitting non-standard base-pairing at the 3rd anti-codon position. The record is from Rfam by way of RNAcentral. Lineage: Eukaryota; Metazoa; Chordata; Mammalia; Artiodactyla; Bovidae.